GUGAGGAAUAUUGGUCAAUGGGCGCAAGCCUGAACCAGCCAUCCCGCGUGAAGGACGACGGCCCUAUGGGUUGUAAACUUCUUUUGUACGGGAAGCACGUGCGCUAUGUAUAGCGUAUUGACGGUACCGUACGAAUAAGCAUCGGCUAACUCCGUGCCAGCAGCCGCGGUAAUACGGAGGAUGCGAGCGUUAUCCGGAUUCAUUGGGUUUAAAGGGUGCGUAGGCGGCCCGGUAAGUCAGCGGUGAAAGUUUGCGGCUCAACCGUAAAAUUGCCGUUGAUACUGUCGGGCUUGAGUUCAGAUGAAGUGGGCGGAAUGAGUAGUGUAGCGGUGAAAUGCUUAGAUAUUACUCAGAACACCGAUUGCGAAGGCAGCCCACUAAACUGCGACUGACGCUGAUGCACGAAAGCGUGGGGAUCGAACAGGAUUAGAAACCCUUGUAGUCC
RNAcentral lists this ribosomal RNA (445 nucleotides) under uncultured bacterium. Its description in RNAcentral is "partial 16S ribosomal RNA". It matches the Rfam family "Bacterial small subunit ribosomal RNA", at positions 354 to 796 of the family's 1533-position model. The record is from RNAcentral.